RNAcentral lists this ribosomal RNA (126 nucleotides) under Mola mola (ocean sunfish). The record is from RNAcentral. Lineage: Eukaryota; Metazoa; Chordata; Actinopteri; Tetraodontiformes; Molidae.
GUUUGUUUCCGCAACUGGAACAUGCCCGAACAAGCCCAAUCUUGUCCGAUCUCAGAAACUAAGCAUGGUCGGGCCUGGUUAGUACUUGAAUGGAAGACCGUCUGGGAAUACCAGGUGCUGUAAGCU